AUUGAACGCUGGCGGCAGGCCUAACACAUGCAAGUCGAACGGUAACAGGCAACAUCUUGCUGUUUCGCUGACGAGUGGCGGGCGGGUGAGUAAUGUCUGGGAAACUGCCUGCUGGAGGGGGAUAACUACUGGAAACGGUAGCUAAUACCUCAUAACGUCGCAAGCCCAAAGAGGGGGACCUUCGUGCCUCUUGCCAUCGGAUGUGCCCAGGUGGGAUUAGCUAGUCGGUGGGGUAACGGCUCACCUAGGCGACGAUCCCUAGCUGGUCUGAGAGGAUGACAAGCGACACUGGAACUGAGACACGGUCCAGACGCCUACGGGAGGCAGCAGUGGGGAAUAUGGCACAGAGGGCGCAAGCAUGAUGCAGCCAGGCCGCGUGUAUGAAGAAGGCCUUCGGGUUGUAAAGUACGUUCAGCGGGGAGGAAGGGAGUAAAGUUAAGACCUUGACUCAUUGACGUUACCCGCAGAAGAAGCACCGGCUAACUCCGUG
RNAcentral lists this ribosomal RNA (490 nucleotides) under uncultured bacterium. Its description in RNAcentral is "partial 16S ribosomal RNA". It matches the Rfam family "Bacterial small subunit ribosomal RNA", at positions 30 to 507 of the family's 1533-position model. The record is from RNAcentral.